UACGUAGGGUGCGAGCGUUAAUCGGAAUUACUGGGCGUAAAGCGUGCGCAGGCGGUGAUGUAAGACAGGUGUGAAAUCCCCGGGCUCAACCUGGGAACUGCAUUUGUGACUGCACAGCUGGAGUGCGGCAGAGGGGGAUGGAAUUCCGCGUGUAGCAGUGAAAUGCGUAGAUAUGCGGAGGAACACCGAUGGCGAAGGCAAUCCCCUGGGCCUGCACUGACGCUCAUGCACGAAAGCGUGGGGAGCAAACAGG
This 253-nucleotide ribosomal RNA is filed under the name uncultured bacterium. RNAcentral describes it as "partial 16S ribosomal RNA". It matches the Rfam family "Bacterial small subunit ribosomal RNA", at positions 524 to 776 of the family's 1533-position model. The record is from RNAcentral.